GAUGAACGCUAGCUACAGGCUUAACACAUGCAAGUCGAGGGGCAGCAUGGUCUUAGCUUGCUAAGGCCGAUGGCGACCGGCGCACGGGUGAGUAACACGUAUCCAACCUGCCGUCUACUCUUGGACAGCCUUCUGAAAGGAAGAUUAAUACAAGAUGGCAUCAUGAGUUCACAUAUUCACAUGAUUAAAGGUAUUCCGGUAGACGAUGGGGAUGCGUUCCAUUAGAUAGUAGGCGGGGUAACGGCCCACCUAGUCUUCGAUGGAUAGGGGUUCUGAGAGGAAGGUCCCCCACAUUGGAACUGAGACACGGUCCAA
This 315-nucleotide ribosomal RNA is filed under the name uncultured bacterium. RNAcentral's name for it is "bacterial SSU rRNA". It matches the Rfam family "Bacterial small subunit ribosomal RNA", at positions 28 to 334 of the family's 1533-position model. The record is from RNAcentral.